Paramormyrops kingsleyae is the source of this 1171-nucleotide long non-coding RNA. RefSeq lists it as uncharacterized. The record is from RefSeq and is a predicted model, not a curated record. NCBI's taxonomy places the organism in Eukaryota, Metazoa, Chordata, Actinopteri, Osteoglossiformes, Mormyridae.
CCAUGAGAGAAGCGAGCGACGAAAGCUCAGUUCUUCUACACCGCUGGACGAUUCGUUCAUUUGACUGUUGUGGAAAGAAUACGGCAAAUACCCCCGGCUAUCAAAAUAAGGACCCACUUGAGAAAAUAUUUGAAGGAAGUCACGUGAUAUAGGUCUGAAUCUGUCCUGGCUGUGACACACAUGGCUUGAGAAUUUGGGUGGCCUAGGGGUUGGUUGUUAUCUUUGGUUAUCUAGCUGUAUGAGUGGUGUACAUUCUUCAUAAAGCUAGAUAACCGAAAGUAACAAGAAUCCCAUUACACUCCUGAAAGGCAACAAGACUCCCUUCAUCCCUGGGAAUGCAAAAAAAAAAGAAAACAUACAUGCAUAUGCAAUAGUAGAAACCAAAUCCAACAAUGAAGCAAUCAGAAGAGAGCAGAGCAAAAGUAAAACAAAAAGGCAAUGAGCGCGCAGGGAGACCGUGAAACAGAGGAGGAGGGGCUGCGAUUUUUACACCGGCUUUGCGCGGCCGCGCCUGUCGACGCGUUUGCCUCUUCCCCUCCCUUCCCGGUUGCCUGCCCGCCCGCUUUCCCUGUACGGGAGGAUGCCGCCCUCGCCACCAUCUUAGGAUAAGGCUGGCAUGAAAUGGCAGUGGGACCCCAAGCAGGUGAAAGAUGACUGGCACAGGAUUGGCUCAUAAUGCUGAUCAUUGUGAGAGGACAGGUAGACACUGAUGUCAUGCUGCCUGAGGACUUUCAUAAUCACCGGUGUGAGCAGUGUUGGUUUUCACAAUUGCUCAAAAAGAUCUCACACCCAGAAUGAGGCUCUCUUGUUUCAUAUGUGACUGUCACACAGUCUUGUGCACCUGUAUUUGAACGUGGAAGAACUUCAUCAACUUAACAUGUGGGACAAUUGUAGUUUUGUUUUGAGGAAAUAUCUUCAAGGGAUAUUCCAGUCAUGGCAAUCAUCUAACCAUGUAACAGAGAAUCUAUCCAUCGCCACAGGAUAAAGGAGCUACAGUUCAAAAUAUAUGUUGGAAAAGGACUUGUAGUGUGGGUGGAUCUACAUGGAGAACGACGCUGACUGGGCCUUUAAGGUCACAAUUCAUCAAGGUAUCAAACUUGUAAAAAAAAAAAAAACACCGUCAAGUUUUCAGGCUAAUAAAAAAUCAUUUCAAGGUUCCACUUGAAGAACA